RNAcentral lists this ribosomal RNA (132 nucleotides) under Cladosporium cladosporioides. Its description in RNAcentral is "partial 18S ribosomal RNA". It matches the Rfam family "Eukaryotic small subunit ribosomal RNA", at positions 1701 to 1830 of the family's 1831-position model. RNAcentral also lists the same sequence under 1 other name. The record is from RNAcentral. Lineage: Eukaryota; Fungi; Ascomycota; Dothideomycetes; Cladosporiales; Cladosporiaceae.
GUGAGGCCUUCGGACUGGCCCAGGGAGGUCGGCAACGACCACCCAGGGCCGGAAAGUUGGUCAAACCCGGUCAUUUAGAGGAAGUAAAAGUCGUAACAAGGUCUCCGUAGGUGAACCUGCGGAGGGAUCAUU